Molecule: ribosomal RNA, 196 nt
Filed under: Dehalococcoidia bacterium
Lineage: Bacteria; Bacillati; Chloroflexota; Dehalococcoidia
Description: partial 16S ribosomal RNA
Rfam family: Bacterial small subunit ribosomal RNA
Source: RNAcentral
UCCCGGAUCAGCAACGCCGGGGUGAAUACGUUCCCGGGCCUUGUACACACCGCCCGUCACACCACGAAAGUCGGCAACACCCGAAGUCAGUGGCCUAACUCUUUUAGAGAAGGAGCUGCCGAAGGUGGGGUUGGUGAUUGGGGUGAAGUCGUAACAAGGUAGCCGUACCGGAAGGUGCGGCUGGAUCACCUCCUUU